AGCGGAGGAAAAGAAACCAACCGGGAUUGCCUUAGUAACGGCGAGUGAAGCGGCAAAAGCUCAAAUUUGAAAUCUGGUACCUUCGGUGCCCGAGUUGUAAUUUGGAGAGGGCAACUUUGGGGCCGUUCCUUGUCUAUGUUCCUUGGAACAGGACGUCAUAGAGGGUGAGAAUCCCGUGUGGCGAGGAGUGCGGUUCUUUGUAAAGUGCCUUCGAAGAGUCGAGUUGUUUGGGAAUGCAGCUCUAAGUGGGUGGUAAAUUCCAUCUAAAGCUAAAUAUUGGCGAGAGACCGAUAGCGAACAAGUACAGUGAUGGAAAGAUGAAAAGAACUUUGAAAAGAGAGUGAAAAAGUACGUGAAAUUGUUGAAAGGGAAGGGCAUUUGAUCAGACAUGGUGUUUUGUGCCCUCUGCUCCUUGUGGGUAGGGGAAUCUCGCAUUUCACUGGGCCAGCAUCAGUUUUGGUGGCAGGAUAAAUCCAUAGGAAUGUAGCUUGCCUCGGUAAGUAUUAUAGCCUGUGGGAAUACUGCCAGCUGGGACUGAGGACUGCGAC
This 548-nucleotide ribosomal RNA is filed under the name Saccharomyces cerevisiae (brewer's yeast). RNAcentral describes it as "partial large subunit ribosomal RNA". It matches the Rfam family "Eukaryotic large subunit ribosomal RNA", at positions 49 to 600 of the family's 3401-position model. The record is from RNAcentral. Lineage: Eukaryota; Fungi; Ascomycota; Saccharomycetes; Saccharomycetales; Saccharomycetaceae.